This 468-nucleotide ribosomal RNA is filed under the name uncultured bacterium. RNAcentral describes it as "partial 16S ribosomal RNA". It matches the Rfam family "Bacterial small subunit ribosomal RNA", at positions 28 to 507 of the family's 1533-position model. The record is from RNAcentral.
GACGAACGCUGGCGGCGUGCUUAACACAUGCAAGUCGAACGGAAAGGCCCUGCUUUUGUGGGGUGCUCGAGUGGCGAACGGGUGAGUAACACGUGAGUAACCUGCCCUUGACUUUGGGAUAACUUCAGGAAACUGGGGCUAAUACCGUAUAGGAGCUCCUGCUGCAUGGUGGGGGUUGGAAAGUUUCGGCGGUUGGGGAUGGACUCGCGGCUUAUCAGCUUGUUGGUGGGGUAGUGGCUUACCAAGGCUUUGACGGGUAGCCGGCCUGAGAGGGUGACCGGCCACAUUGGGACUGAGAUACGGCGCAGACUCCUACAGGAGGCAGCAGUGGGGAAUAUUGCACAAUGGGCGGAAGCCUGAUGCAGCAACGCCGCGUGCGGGAUGACGGCCUUCGGGUUGUAAACCGCUUUCGCCUGUGACGAAGCGUGAGUGACGGUAAUGGGUAAAGAAGCACCGGCUAACUACGUG